GAUCCUGGCUCAGGAUGAACGCUGGCGGCGUGCUUAACACAUGCAAGUCGAGCGAAGCACUUAAGUUUGAUUCUUCGGAUGAAGACUUUUGUGACUGAGCGGCGGACGGGUGAGUAACGCGUGGGUAACCUGCCUCAUACGAGGGGGAUAACAGUUAGAAAUGACUGCUAAUACCGCAUAAGACCACGGUACCGCAUGGUACAGUGGUAAAACUCCGGUGGUAUGAGGAUGGACCCGCGU
RNAcentral lists this ribosomal RNA (240 nucleotides) under uncultured bacterium. Its description in RNAcentral is "partial 16S ribosomal RNA". It matches the Rfam family "Bacterial small subunit ribosomal RNA", at positions 15 to 236 of the family's 1533-position model. The record is from RNAcentral.